RNAcentral lists this ribosomal RNA (810 nucleotides) under uncultured bacterium. Its description in RNAcentral is "bacterial SSU rRNA". It matches the Rfam family "Bacterial small subunit ribosomal RNA", at positions 8 to 802 of the family's 1533-position model. The record is from RNAcentral.
AGAGUUUGAUCCUGGCUCAGAACGAACUCUGGCGGCGUGUCUUAAGCAUGCAAGUCGAGCGGCAAGAAGGAAGCUUGCUUCCUUCCUAGAGCGGCGGACUGGUGAGUAACACGUGGGUAAUCUAUCUUUUAGGUUUGGGAUAGCCGCUAGAAAUAGCGGGUAAUACCGGAUGAGCUGUUAUAGCGAAAGGUUAUAACAGGAAAGGCGCUACGGCGCCGCCUUAAGCUGAGCCCGCGUCUCAUUAGCUAGUUGGUGGGGUAAGAGCCUACCAAGGCGAUGAUGAGUAGCCGGCCUGAGAGGGUGUACGGCCACACUGGGACUGAGAUACGGCCCAGACUCCUACGGGAGGCAGCAGCUAAGAAUAUUCCGCAAUGGACGCAAGUCUGACGGAGCGACGCCGCGUGGAUGAUGAAGGCCGUGAGGUUGUAAAAUCCUUUUGUUGGGGGAGAAUAACUGUCGGAGGGAAUGCCGGCAGGAUGACAUGAACCAACGAAUAAGCCCCGGCUAACUACGUGCCAGCAGCCGCGGUAACACGUAGGGGGCAAGCGUUGUUCGGAAUUACUGGGCGUAAAGGGCAUGUAGGCGGUUUAGUAAGCCUGGCGUGAAAGGCAGUGGCUUAACCACGGCAUUGCGUUGGGAACUGUUAGACUUGAAUCACGGAGAGGGAGCUGGAAUUCCAGGUGUAGGGGUGAAAUCUGUAGAUAUCUGGAAGAACACCAGUGGCGAAGGCGAGCUCCUGGCCGAUGAUUGACGCUGAGGUGCGAAAGUGUGGGGAUCAAACAAGAUUAGAGACCCUGGUAGUCCACACUG